GACGAACGCUGGCGGCGUGCUUAACACAUGCAAGUCGAACGGAAAGGCCCUGGUUUUGUGGGGUGCUCGAGUGGCGAACGGGUGAGUAACACGUGAGUAACCUGCCCUUGACUUGGGGAUAACUUCAGGAAACUGGGGCUAAUACCGGAUAGGAGCUCAUGCUGCAUGGUGGGGGUUGGAAAGUUGCGGCGGCUGGGGUUGGACUCGCGGCUUAGCAGCUUGUUGGUGGGGUAGUGGCUUACCCAGGCUUUGACGGGUAGCCGGCCUGAGAGGGUGACCGGCCACAUUGGGACUGAGAUACGGCCCAGACUCCUACGGGAGGCAGCAGUGGGGAUUUGUGCACGAUGGGCGGAAGCCGGAUGCAGCAUCGCCGCGUGCUGGAUGACGGCCUUCGGGUUGUAAACCGCUUUCGCCUGUGACGAAGAGUGAGUGACGGUAAUGGGUAAAGAAGCACCGGCUAACUACGUG
Molecule: ribosomal RNA, 468 nt
Filed under: uncultured bacterium
Lineage: Bacteria
Description: partial 16S ribosomal RNA
Rfam family: Bacterial small subunit ribosomal RNA
Source: RNAcentral